Molecule: long non-coding RNA, 1839 nt
Organism: Mauremys mutica (yellowpond turtle)
Lineage: Eukaryota; Metazoa; Chordata; Testudines; Geoemydidae
Exons: 3
Source: RefSeq, a predicted model, not a curated record
UCUUUAUAUUUCGGCAGUGGAUCUAAGCGAACCAUAACCUCCGUCACCAGAUGUUCCGCUGAUUGCGCAAAAAACGUGUAAGGAGUCGUGCAUCCAGGGAGAAUGCAUAGUAUCUUCUUGGUACAUCUAAACAAAAACAAGGUAUCAAUGGGGAGACAAAGAGCAACAACUAGAGCCGAAUCUUUGGAGGAUACCACCACUGAGGAUCUGAUUACACAUAACGCUUGCGGCACCUUACAUGCUCUAAGAAAUGCACACAAAGUGAAUAUGGCAAGGUUGGAGAGAAAGUACAUCAAGCAACAGGAAAAUUGAUGGGAUAAGUGCCAGCUGUGGGCAAGAAUUGCCUUAUACUAAGUCCCAAGCCCCAAGUGCUCUAGUCAUGAACCAGGAUUCCAUUGUGCUACACGCUGUACAAACACAGAAUGAAGAGAGAGUCCCUGCUCCAAAGAGCUUACCAUCUAAGACAAGAGACACAUGGAUGGAUACAGACAGACCAAUCAUGGGGGAGUAUAAAAACUAAUGAGACAGUCUGAGUCAGCGUGACGGGCAGUGGUCUCAGGGUUAGAAGGAGCCAAGAUGUUCUGACUAGGAUUUGGUAAACUCAUCAUGGUCAGGAUACUUUUGGGCCAGGAAAGUGGAAACCAGUCUCCUUCCAAAAUCAGAAGGACAGUACCAAAUCUUUGAAUUAGUAUUUCAAAUCUUAACUUUAAUAAUUAAAAAUAUAAGAAAAACCAUAUAUCCCAUUAUGGCCAGCAGGCUAAUUCAAUUACUUAGUAACCUACCUGAACAUUUCUUUUAACUCAUUCACCUUCUUCGCGGGAUAUUUGCUGGACUGAUUGUCAUUCAGGAAAGCUCUAGCAUAGGCCAGCGGACCAGCAUUAACCUAAAACCCAAAAUGUGAGAACUCAUUUAUGCUGCAGCUUUUAGGUUAAUUUCAGAGGGUAAUAAGUUUGUUUUAUUAGAAAUAUUACUUAAGCUAUUACUUCAUGCCACAAGAUGUGCAUUUCUAUAUGGUCAUGGGAUAACAAUACUAUAGUACUGUUUAUGUAACGGAACAGAAGGCACCUGUAGUUCAAAAUGUCAGGCUUUUUGGAAUGGAAAAAAUUUCUUUACUGAUAUUCUGAGUCAUUUUCAAUAAGACAUUGUGAUGAUAUUGUCUUGAAAAGUAUAUCUUCAUACAGAAUUAACAAUAUUAAGCAACAUAUUGAAUCUUGACAUCAUAUGAUAUUAUUAACAUUUCCCUUUUUUCCCAGAAAAUGUUUAAAGACAUUAUAUUCGAUAUAUUCCUGGUUUGAAUCUCUUUAAGAGGCCAGCUCCUAAUAUAAACCUUUCAGUCCUGUUCAAAUUCUAUUACUAAUAUUUGUUUUAUUUCCUUCAGGAUGUUUUUCCAAUUUUUUAUUUAUUACCACCAGUCCCAUAUCAUGUGCAUGAAAGAGGGCCUGGCUGUCUUGCAUUUCAUACAGAUAUCUGGGGCCAUAUUAUGUAUUUUAUUAUAUUGACAUGGAGAAACAUACACCCUGUAAACUAAAAAUUACUGAACUUGCACUACGUUAAUAGUAGAUUUAAUAUCCAUUGUCUGCAUCAUCUCAUCCCAUUAUUUUGCUGUUAUUUCACAUUUACAGUCUAAUGAAAUUACACAUUCUAGACAUAAUCUUGAUUGAUGCUUACUUUAUUAAAAAUCUCUUUCAGAGAAGAAAAGCACCAACAAAGCUAUCUGUAUUAGAAAAUUUUACACACGGGUUUGAAGUUUCAGCAAUCUAGAUACACUAAAAAGAAUGCACGAUAGGAGUUUAUCAGCUACAACGGUUUGCUUUAAGGGUUGUGCUAGACUUUACUUUU